RNAcentral lists this ribosomal RNA (253 nucleotides) under uncultured bacterium. Its description in RNAcentral is "partial 16S ribosomal RNA". It matches the Rfam family "Bacterial small subunit ribosomal RNA", at positions 524 to 776 of the family's 1533-position model. The record is from RNAcentral.
UACGUAGGGGGCAAGCGUUGUCCGGAAUCAUUGGGCGUAAAGAGCGUGUAGGCGGCCCGGUAAGUCCGCUGUGAAAGUCCAGGGCUCAACCCUGGGAUGCCGGUGGAUACUGUCGGGCUCGAGUCCGGAAGAGGAGUGUGGAAUUCCUGGUGUAGCGGUGAAAUGCGCAGAUAUCGGGAAGAACACCCGUGGCGAAGGCGGCUCUCUGGGACGGUACUGACGCUGAGACGCGAAAGCGUGGGGAGCGAACAGG